GAACCGUCCAAAAGUUUAUUCGGAAUCACUGGGCUUAAAGGGUGCGUAGGCGGCGCGGUUAGUCGGAUGUGAAAUCGUACAGCUCAACUGUACAACUGCGUCCGAAACUGCCGUGCUCGAGGAAGGCAGAGGUGAGCGGAACUCAGGGUGGAGCGGUGAAAUGCGUUGAUAUCCUGGGGAACACCGGUGGCGAAGGCGGCUCACUGGGCCUUUUCUGACGCUGAGGCACGAAAGCUAGGGUAGCGAACAGGGAUUAGAUACCCUGGUAGUCCUAGCUGUAAACGAUGAGCACUAGAUCGAGGAGACUUCCACCAUCUUCUCGGUUCGUAGCGAAAGUGUUAAGUGCUCCGCCUGGGAGUAUGGUCGCAAGGCUG
Molecule: ribosomal RNA, 374 nt
Filed under: uncultured organism
Description: partial 16S ribosomal RNA
Rfam family: Bacterial small subunit ribosomal RNA
Source: RNAcentral